Molecule: long non-coding RNA, 1153 nt
Filed under: Marmota monax (woodchuck)
Lineage: Eukaryota; Metazoa; Chordata; Mammalia; Rodentia; Sciuridae
Source: RNAcentral
GUAAAUGACAUUUGAAGAUACAGUGACCUAAUUGAUUUAUAUUUAAAUGAUGAUUGAACACUCAACCUUUUGAAACCUUAUGUAAAAAGAUAUGGCUGUAGGUCAUUGGUUCGCAAGGUGUUGUCCUCAGCAACAUGUGCUGGGAACUUGUUAGAAAAGCAUAUUCUUAAACUCACUCCAGAUCCACUGAAACAGACUGUAUGGUAGGUCUCAGUCUGGGUUUUUACAAGUCCUCCAGCUUGGAGCAAUGUUCUAGAAAUAAAAACAGAACACCUAAAGUCCCUGAAGCAAUAAAACUUAAAAUGCAAAAAUGACAACAAUCAAGAAGUCUUUGAGACUAUUAAGGACCUUACUGAGAAUAGAGGUGGGAAACUAAGGGCAAGGCUGCUUUGGCUUUGGUGGAGUUGAAUAAAUAGAUCUGUGGUGUCUUUGUUAGGUUAAACAUACCUAAAUAUCCAAGGUUAAUAUCAAAAACAACUGUGAUAGAUGAACUUGGUGCUUUACAGAAAAAGUCUGUCCUUGAGAUAUAAACCCAGGAAUUUUCAGUCUCUUGAUGAAUUGUGAAACUAGGAACAGGAAGAGAUCACAAACAGAAGAAAUAUAAAUAAGUAUAAUGUGUGAACUAAGAAAAUUAUUAGGAAUAUUUCAAACUUGAGAGGAAGAACAAUGGAAGUGGAAAUGUAAAGGGAAAUUGAGAAGGAGAAUGUGGCAUAUGAAUACAGUUAGGUGAGAGGCAUUAGAAGUCAGAUUAAAAAAAAAAGUGUCCCAAGAAAGUGGGCUAUGCAAUCAUGUCAUAUGCAACUACUAAGUUAAAUAAAUAUGAAUAUUGGCUGCUGUACUUGAUGUAAAAUUUAAUGGGUGAUCCUGAUCAAACUAAUGUUAGUACAUGAUGACAUAGCCCCAUGGAACAGGCAAUAAAGUGAAAGACUGAAAAGGGAGAGAAAUUAAUGAUAUAGAAAAAGUUAAUAGUAACAUUUAAAAUGUAAGAAUAUUUCGGACCCAUGAGAAAUUAACCAAGGUCAUGGGAGAAGACAGUGAGAAGAAGCAAACAACUUUAGUAUUAAAAACCAUAGAACAGGGGUUGGGGCUGUAGCUAAGUGGUGGAGUGCAUGCCUCGCAUGUGUAAGGCACUGGGUUCGAUCCUUAGCACCAC